Molecule: transfer RNA, 72 nt
Filed under: Bos taurus (domestic cattle)
Lineage: Eukaryota; Metazoa; Chordata; Mammalia; Artiodactyla; Bovidae
Also listed under: 3 other names
Rfam family: tRNA
About the family: Transfer RNA (tRNA) molecules are approximately 80 nucleotides in length. Their secondary structure includes four short double-helical elements and three loops (D, anti-codon, and T loops). Further hydrogen bonds mediate the characteristic L-shaped molecular structure. tRNAs have two regions of fundamental functional importance: the anti-codon, which is responsible for specific mRNA codon recognition, and the 3' end, to which the tRNAs corresponding amino acid is attached (by aminoacyl-tRNA synthetases). tRNAs cope with the degeneracy of the genetic code in two manners: having more than one tRNA (with a specific anti-codon) for a particular amino acid; and 'wobble' base-pairing, i.e. permitting non-standard base-pairing at the 3rd anti-codon position.
Source: Rfam by way of RNAcentral
UCUCUGGUGGCUCAGAUGGUAAAGAAUCUGCCUUCAAUGCAGAAGACCUGGGUUCAACCCCUAGGUAGGGAA